This 524-nucleotide long non-coding RNA is filed under the name Phoenix dactylifera (date palm). RNAcentral's name for it is "long non-coding RNA (PDAC_LNC012459)". The record is from RNAcentral. Lineage: Eukaryota; Viridiplantae; Streptophyta; Magnoliopsida; Arecales; Arecaceae.
GAAGAUCUCUCCCAAGAGGUAAUGCCUACAACUCUGAAAAUUUCAGAUUCAUAAUCGGGCUAGGAUUAAGGUGCUACCUUUUAUUGCAUGCUUAGAAGUGAGGUUUAUUUCUUGCUACCUUCAAAUUAAUUGUUAAGAUUGUGGGAGGGCACAUUAGAAGUUUCUUUUGCAUGCAAUUGGUGCUUAAAUUUCUGCGACAUAUCAUUUUUUCUUGCAAGAGGGUGUGAGCACUUUUCUUGUAAAGGUUUGGUUGAUCUUUGCUGUGUUAACCCAUGGAUGCUCAAGAGGGAGGCUAUUGGUAGUACCUCGAGCUAUUUGGCCCAACCAUUUUGCCGUUGGGUAUAUUAGGAGCGGCAUAAAGGGAGGCUACCGGUAGUAUCUUGUGCUCCUUCCCCAACUACAGUGAUUUGGGAACUGGCAUUAUGUCAAACAACCUAGUGGGUUGUGAGGUUCUUCUUGCUUGUAAUCUUUUGUUGUAAUCGGAGGAGAUUAAGUGUUGCACAACCCAUUUUUAUAAAGAGAAG